Long non-coding RNA from Cyprinus carpio (common carp), 745 nucleotides. RefSeq lists it as uncharacterized. The record is from RefSeq and is a predicted model, not a curated record. The transcript is spliced from 3 exons. NCBI's taxonomy places the organism in Eukaryota, Metazoa, Chordata, Actinopteri, Cypriniformes, Cyprinidae.
UCCUGCACAUUUUUUUAAUAAAAAUGAAAUCACUUUUAAUACUUGCAACAUGUGCUGUGUUUUCUCCAGUGACUGUCCAUACGGAGUGUCCAUAUUGGAUUUGAGAGCUAUAAGUGGAUAGAUACAACUAUGUUUCUGUAUUUUGGUAACAGUGACUUCAGAAGACACGGAAAGUAGUCAUAUGAGUGGUUUGGAUUACUUCAAGGUUUUUGUUUUUUUUGUCAAUUAAAGCUUACAGCCUCAGUUCACAUUCAAGAAGUGACGAUGUUCUUUAGAAAUUUUCCUUUUGUGUUUCACAGAAGAAACAAAGUCGAGUGUGGAAUGAAAUGAGACCGAAUAUUCAUUUUUGGGUGAUAAACCUAUUCGUGAACCUAAACUUAAUCUGGACCGGUUCGAACAAGUAAAAUCAGGUCUGCAAAUCUGAAAUGAACUUGUAAUGGAGGCCAAAUCCAACAUUUCCUCAGAGGCUGGAGUGUGUGACAGCAGCUGCGAUGACACACACACAGAUCACCUCUAAAAAUACCCUUCACUCAGGAAACGACACAUCGUGAACGCAUACGCUAUCAGGGAACAUUCGUGGCCCGAUUCGUUCACCGCCACAUCCUGCGGUCCUGGAAAAUGUGAAAUGUUUGUGACACUUGGACGUGUGGGACGGUGCCAGUUUGCCAGAGGCAUAUUCUGAGUGUGUCAGCUAUCAGAAACGCUCCUGUGUUUCAUUAAUGGCAUCAGCUCAGGGUGUGUUUCU